UCCUACGGGGGGCAGCAGUAGGGAAUUUUCGUCAAUGGGCGCAAGCCUGAACGAGCAAUGCCGCGUGAACGAGGAAGGUCUUCGGAUCGUAAAGUUCUGUUGAAGGGGAAAAAGAGCGGAGAGAGGAAAUGGUCUCCGAUUGAUAUUACCCUUCGAGGAAGUCACAGCUAACUACGUGCCAGCAGCCGCGGUAAUACGUAGGUGGCGAGCGUUAUCCGGAAUGAUUGGGCGUAAAGGGUGCGUAGGCGGCCUGCUAAGUCUGGAGUGAAAGGUACCGGCUCAACCGGUACAGGCUCUGGAAACUG
RNAcentral lists this ribosomal RNA (305 nucleotides) under uncultured bacterium. RNAcentral describes it as "bacterial SSU rRNA". It matches the Rfam family "Bacterial small subunit ribosomal RNA", at positions 337 to 635 of the family's 1533-position model. The record is from RNAcentral.